AGAGUUUGAUCCUGGCUCAGGAUGAACGCUAGCGGCAGGCCUAAUACAUGCAAGUCGAACGGGUCGGGGUAGCAAUACCUCGAUUAGUGGCGCACGGGUGCGUAACGCGUAUGCAACCUACCUUUUAUUGGGGGAUAGCCCGAAGAAAUUCGGAUUAAUACCGCAUAAGAUCACUUGAGGGCAUCUGAGGGUGAUGAAAGCUGAGGCGAUAAAAGAUGGGCAUGCGUGUCAUUAGCUAGUUGGUGAGGUAACGGCUCACCAAGGCGACGAUGACUAGGGGUUCUGAGAGGAUGAUCCCCCACACUGGUACUGAGAUACGGACCAGACUCCUACGGGAGGCAGCAGUAGGGAAUAUUGGGCAAUGGCGGAAACGCUGACCCAGCCAUGCCGCGUGCAGGAUGAAGGCCUUCUGGGUUGUAAACUGCUUUUACCAGGGAAGAAAAUACUCUUGCGAGAGGAACUGACGGUACCUGGUGAAUAAGCACCGGCUAACUCCGUGCCAGCAGCCGCGGUAAUACGGAGGGUGCAAGCGUUGUCCGGAUUUAUUGGGUUUAAAGGGUGCGUAGGCGGCGUAAUAAGUCCGUGGUGAAAGCCAACAGCUCAACUGUUGAACUGCCAUGGAUACUGUUAGGCUGGAGUACAGACGAGGUAGGCGGAAUGGAUCGUGUAGCGGUGAAAUGCAUAGAUACGAUCCAGAACUCCGAUUGCGAAGGCAGCUUACUAGGCUGUAACUGACGCUGAGGCACGAAAGCGUGGGGAGCGAACAGGAUUAGAUACCCUAGUAGUCC
Molecule: ribosomal RNA, 788 nt
Filed under: uncultured bacterium
Lineage: Bacteria
Description: bacterial SSU rRNA
Rfam family: Bacterial small subunit ribosomal RNA
Source: RNAcentral